RNAcentral lists this ribosomal RNA (553 nucleotides) under uncultured bacterium. Its description in RNAcentral is "bacterial SSU rRNA". It matches the Rfam family "Bacterial small subunit ribosomal RNA", at positions 361 to 909 of the family's 1533-position model. The record is from RNAcentral.
AUCUUCGGCAAUGGACGAAAGUCUGACCGAGCGACGCCGCGUGCGGGAUGAAGGUCUUCGGAUUGUAAACCGCUGUCGAGGGGAAUCAAAUGCUAGGGGGUUCUCCCCCUAGUUUGAGAGAACCCUGGAGGAAGGGGAGGCUAAGCUCGUGCCAGCAGCCGCGGUAGGACGAGCUCCCCAAACGUUAUUCGGUAUCACUGGGCUUAAAGAGUUCGUAGGCGGCGAAGUAGGUGAGGUGUGAAAGCCCUCGGCUCAACCGAGGAACUGCGCUUCAAACCGCUUUGCUUGAGGGAGAUAGGGGUAAGCGGAACAGAUGGUGGAGCGGUGAAAUGCAUUGACAUCAUCUGGAACACCGGUGGCGAAAGCGGCUUACUGGAUCCUUUCUGACGCUGAGGAACGAAAGCUAGGGUAGCGAACGGGAUUAGAUACCCCGGUAGUCCUAGCCGUAAACGAUGAGCACUAGUCUGAGGAACUCUCACAGUUUCUCGGACGUAGCGAAAGUGUUAAGUGCUCCGCCUGGGGAGUAUGGUCGCAAGGCUGAAACUCAAAGGAA